Molecule: RNA transcript, 3167 nt
Organism: Aedes albopictus (Asian tiger mosquito)
Lineage: Eukaryota; Metazoa; Arthropoda; Insecta; Diptera; Culicidae
Exons: 9
Source: RefSeq, a predicted model, not a curated record
CAACUUAAACCUCAAUCAUAAUAACGGCCUUAAGUGGCGGGGGGAAAUUCGUUUCGUGCUGGGGGAAAAAGACUUCUGCAAAGUGAGCAAAUUACCAACCAGCCAGCCAUCCAUCCAAAGGGGGCUCGGAACCAAAACCAAGAGACCACUUUCAUUUUCGUUCGACCAGUUGCCGCGUGCGGAGUAGCGAUCCGCUGCUCAGGAAACCAAAUACUACGCGAUCGCCAAGUCACAGUGACGUUCGGUUUUUUGUUCGAGCGUUAAGUCAGUGAAAUUUCGAUUAUUUUCCGACAAGAAAAAAGUGUCGCAGAGAGUCCUAAGCGCGCAGCGAAAGGAUAAAGUUCGAGCGAGAGAACGUGUGUUUUUCGGUAAAGUGUCCUCGUCAUCGCAACUGUAGUCGUCUGUACUCGCGAAGGAAGUGCUGCAAACUAAUUCUGUCAUAGCCUGUAAUUAAUCAUCCUCCAUUGUUUACUGCUGUUGCUGUUGCUGCUGCUGCUACUAGGGGCUUUGCCUGCUAGUCGCCAAGCAGAAGAACGUCACCGGGUAGUAAUAGGAUUACUACCUUCCGGGACAAGGAUCAAAUUAGGACACGCGUAACCAAGCACCUCCGAGCGACACCCCGUGCUGCACCCCGGUUCGCAAAAGCGGAUUCAACGACAAAAUGAAGAUUACACUUUUGCUCCUUGUCGCCCUACCAUUGCUGGUACUGUCAUCUCCAAUCGAUUCAUCAAGUAAUGCCUCCGUGGAAGAUAUCGAUAGAUCCGAUCUCACGAGAGCCAAACGUUCCGGUUUCAGUCUUGUUUCCGGUCUUAAAAACACACUACUAUCGGGAAUAGGACAAGCGUCGGCCUCGCUAGCAGCUAGCAGCGCCGGGACGGCAUCUUCUAGCAUUGCAAUGCACUCUUCGAGCGGAGGCUCCAGUAGUGGAGGGCACUCGUACGAAAAGCCGCACUCGUACGAUAGUCCGCACUCGUACGAAAAGCCUCACGACUCCCAUUUCGAUGGAUGGGGCUUGAAGAAAUCAAUCCUCAACACGCUGUUCCAGGCGGUGAAGGCCAUCACCGGCGGCGUAACGAUACUCAAGGGUCAACUAAUCAAGGGCUCCGGCUAUGCGGUCAGCGGCGUUGGCAAAGUGAUUGCAGCCGGUGGUGAUGCCGUAUCGAACGUGGGCAAAAAGAUUACAACAUCUGCCCAGCUGGUACCGUCGUCCCAUUCCCACUCUGCCAUCCAUCCGUUCGCCAAGCUGAGUGGUUCGCUGUCGUCCGGCUCAGCCGGUUUGAUCUCCGGUGCGUCGUCGUCCUCGUCGGGCUCGUCAUCAUCGUCUGGACAUCACACUGGCCCAUCCAGUGAAAGUUUCACUAGCUACGAAUCUCCCCACUACGAAUCCCACAGUCACAUCAGUGUUCCAUCAAGUGCGGCCUACAUUCCACCAAAGCACUCGUACAAGACACCGCUGACAUCCUAUGGAACGGAGAUCGAAGCAUACCCAUCGGCCCCACAUUUUCUGCCAACCCCGAGCAAGUCCAAUGUCGUGGAAGCAUCCGAUGUGUUGCGGCAAAUUCUGAAUAAAAAAGUGCCACAGACGAGCUACAGCUAUAACAGCUAUCAGCAAGCGACGGGACCUGCCAAGUACGAGAAGAAGGUCGUCUCCCAGCACGAUAUCCCAGUCGAUUCCUAUCCCCCACCAUUCAAGCCACUAGACACCAACAAAUACCUGCCACCACUGUAUGGCCUUCCCCAUGGUCCUGUCGAAUCCGUUACCCAUUCCCAGUCGAUAACGACCUCCUUUGGCGCUGGCUACAACUCACCACACGUGGAAGAAGUUGAUCAUCCCCAGUACCCACCUUCCUACGAUAUCUACCAUUCCAUGAGCGUCAAAAUGGCCGCCGACGGCACUGACUACCGAACAAAAGCACCUACAGCACCUGGACGACGAAGAAAUCCAUCAACAACAACUCCACGAUUUGAGCUCAAAAUUCGGACCCGGUAUUGAGGUGCAAAAAUCACUGACCUACGAGAUUGACGACCCCGUGGACGUCUCCAGCCUGGCAUCUUCCAUCCAUGACUUGAGCCGACGACGGUCCGACGACAAGCAAGGACUACAGCUAAGUGACAAAGCCUCGGACAGCAGUAGCGGUAACAGCGACAGCACGACUUCCACCCAGACGUAAAGACUGAACAGAACACUGAGUAUUAGACGAACUAGUGCAUUUCCAAGCAAUUUGGACACCAACAUUCAGAUAACGAUGGUUAUGCCAAAAUCGUCGUAGCAUAAGCCGUCCCAGUUGCUGCCAACCAGUGUCAACAUUCAUUGUUAGAGAUUUCAUGGCCGUCCAUAAACCCACAACGCAAAAUACUCAUAACACUUUCAUCGAACAUUUUCUUCUACAGUACCAUCACCUGACUCUUCGCAAGCAUCCACAAAGUUACCCCGCUAGGAUAGGCGUUACACAUUCAGUAAAUAUUUGGCGGAAUCCGUUGGCUCCGCUCCAUUAAACGGUAUACCCAUACAAAUUCCGUUGAAAGCUCGUCCGAUCGGCUUUGGUAAUAUUUACCCAUUGCUCUGAAUUGUUUUGGUUACACUUUUUUUGUUUUGUUCACACGGUACAACAGGUCAGAAAGCAAGCUAUUCCAGUGUAAACCAUAUCGAUUGAGGAACGAACCCCGUGAGCCAGUAGAUAUGUAAGAGACAGGGAAAGGAAAGGAAAAGGACGUGAAUGUACCAUGAAAGGGCGAACCUGGCCCAGCAAAACCGUUUUCACCGAGGUGGAAACAUUUUUCUUCAUCGCCUAUCACAUGAGUGAAAGGUGUUGUUCAAAAUGAUACACAUUCACGCGAGCUCGUUGUUCAGUUUACAGUAAACGGAAAUUCUAGUGAUGGAUGAUGGAAUAACAUUUAAAUUUACAAGAUUUUUGAAUUAAUGGAUGGAUUUGGAACGUAUAGCUUUUGUUUAGAGUUAGCUAUUUAAAUGUACUCUUUAGGUGUAAGCUAGAUGUUUUUUAUGUUUAUUUCCUUUUCACUGCUAACCAUUUGAUGGUUUAGAGGUGCUACUAAUGUAGGUAGUCAGUCCAGUGUUAGAUAUUUUUCCUUUCUGUAUUUAUUGUCUUUCGAUGUUGAAUUCAUUUUUAGCAUCUUCUAAUAAAUAGUGAUAAUGGAGUAAUGUUAAA